CUGCCUGCAUUAGGGAUCGUCUUGGAAUCAGUUCAUCUCUGUUGCUUUUCUUUGAGGUUCUUAAUAAAAACAAAAACAGAAACUGUGUUUUUUCUGGUAGUCAUUUAUUGUCAGAUGCCUCCAGCCCCUGGGGUCUUGUUUGGAAACCCUCCUGUUCCUGCUCCUGCCUUUGGCCCAGUUUCACCUCCAGGUUACUGGAGACUGGGCUGGUGUGGGGCUCCAGUCCUGCCUAGCAGGGACAUCUGCCACUCCAGAUGGGCACUCACCAAAAACCUCCUGAGGAGACGAAGACCCUGGUCCUCCAGGAGAGUGAGUGACUGCGCUCUCCACGUGGGUGGGCAGGAGUGUCAUUCCCAGCCAGACUUCGCCCAGGGCCUGGGAGACCCCGAGGGCCUUGUGGCUGGAAAGAAUUCUAAAGCAGGAAAUGAAACACCCAUGCAUCACCCGGGACUAACUACGUCAGAAUUGCACUGGUACUGCCGGCGCUCAGGAUAUCUCACAAAACGUUCUGUGGCUGGCAUCCUGCCUUUAAAGUCACACACCCCAAACCCGGUCCCAGGCACGGGCCCUCUGUUGGGUUUGCAUCGCAUGCUCUUGCAUCCAUCCCACAAAAGCCUGCGGGGCACUAAACCCAGGCCUUGUGGGGAGGGAGUUGACAAAGACGAGCCUUUCCCCACGGGAGCCUCUUGGCCUUUCCCCGCUCUGGUUGAGAGCUGCGUGUCUGGUGACUUCCUGGCUGGCUCUGAUGUGGCCCCUCGGCCCUCCUGGCUGCUGGCUCCUCCGUGUUGUGCCGAGUAAACAGUUCCCAGGUGCUACUCCCUGCCAGCUGGACAGAAAUGCGUCUGCGUGGUGAAGCUGGGCCGUCUGCAGUGCCAUCUGCUCCGGAUGUGGAGUCCCGUUGCCAUGGUACCCAAACUGAUGCGGGACAGAAUCUCACGAAGUCACUAAGUUGUACAGGCUGGGCUUGGAUUUAUGAUCCUCCUGCUUCAGCCUCCCAGGAUGCUGGGAUUGCAGAUGUACAUCACCCCGCCCAGCUCUCCUCUCUACAGAGGAAACUGAGUCACCGAUUUCUGGAUGAAACUAGAACUUAGCCCAUGGGAAAGAGAAGCGACUGAAUAACGCUCAAUGAGGAGCUUGCAUUGGGAGACUGGGGGCAGAAAUAAUACCAUAGGUUAAAAAAUACACAAAUAUACAAAUAGGAAAUCUGCUCUGAUCUGUGUCUCAGAGAUGACCACUUUUAACACCGGGUGUUAUCUUGUAAGAUGCCUUUCAAAGCUCAGGGUUGAGGGCAGGAGCUGCAUCUCCUGCAGACCGGAAGAGGAGAGAGUGCCGGUGUGGACCAUGUCAGCAGCAGAGUCAGCUGCGGCUGCCCUGCCUCCGAAGCUCUGAGCUGGAGCCCAGCUGGCCCAGUCCGGUUCCGUCCAGCGGAGGAGGGCGUCCCUGGCGCCUGGGUGUUUUGGAAACUCCUUCUGGCACUCGCAUUCCCUGACCCCAGAUGACAGAAGUGGCUCUGACAGCUGCAGGGCACUUGACAUACAUUGUGGGUCACAGGCGAGAGCUCCCCUUCCGUGCUGCGGGGCUGCCUGCCCGGGGCUGGCUUGGGAGUGGUCUCUCCCCUGAUUUCUCACCUUCAGCCCUGUCCUUCGCCAGAGUCACAGCCUCCUUGAUGGAGGGAACUGGGCUGCUGGGUGGUGAGAGCCAGGCUCCCCUCCCCUGAGGCCAGACCAGCCUGCUUUGGUUUGUGAUUGGAAUUCUGAUUGACCCCAGGGCCAUGGUGCUGAGGUAUGUAUGCCCCAGCCAUUUACUUCUGUUGCUGCUCUUUUGAGACAGGGUCUUGCUAGUCACUACUCACCCAGGCUGGGCUCGGAUUUGUGAUCCUCCUGCUUCAGCCUCCUGAGUACUGGAACUAUAGGCGUGUGCCACCACGGCUGGCUGCAUACACUUCUUCACAGCCUUUCGAGGCAAACCCUAAUUACUCCCAUUUUACCGAGGAACAGCUGAG
Molecule: long non-coding RNA, 2002 nt
Filed under: Heterocephalus glaber (naked mole-rat)
Lineage: Eukaryota; Metazoa; Chordata; Mammalia; Rodentia; Bathyergidae
Description: lncRNA (ENSHGLG00100026854.2)
Source: RNAcentral